AGGACGAACGCUGGCGGCGUGCUUAACACAUGCAAGUCGAGCGGAAAGGCCCUUCGGGGUACUCGAGCGGCGAACGGGUGAGUAACACGUGAGUAAUCUGCCCCUAGCUCUGGGAUAGCUCCGGGAAACCGGGAUUAAUACCGGAUACGACCACUUUAGACAUCUGUUGUGGUGGAAAGAAUUUUGGCUAGGGAUGAGCUCGCGGCCUAUCAGCUUGUUGGUGGGGUAACGGCCUACCAAGGCGACGACGGGUAGCCGGCCUGAGAGGGCGACCGGCCACACUGGGACUGAGACACGGCCCAGACUCCUACGGGAGGCAGCAGUGGGGAAUAUUGCGCAAUGGGCGAAAGCCUGACGCAGCGACGCCGCGUGGGGGAUGAAGGCCUUCUGAGUUGUAAACUCCUUUCAGCAGGGACGAUAGUGACGGUACCUGCAGAAGAAGCACCGGCCAACUACGUGCCAGCAGCCGC
This 470-nucleotide ribosomal RNA is filed under the name uncultured bacterium. RNAcentral describes it as "SSU rRNA". It matches the Rfam family "Bacterial small subunit ribosomal RNA", at positions 26 to 518 of the family's 1533-position model. The record is from RNAcentral.